Molecule: ribosomal RNA, 500 nt
Filed under: uncultured archaeon
Lineage: Archaea
Description: bacterial SSU rRNA
Rfam family: Archaeal small subunit ribosomal RNA
Source: RNAcentral
CAGGCGCGAAAACUUUACAAUGCAGGAAACUGUGAUAAGGGAACCCCGAGUGCCCGUAUACGCGGGCUGUCCAGGUGUUUAAAACGCAUCUGAAGAAAGGGCCGGGCAAGACCGGUGCCAGCCGCCGCGGUAAUACCGGCGGCUCGAGUGGUGGCCACUAUUAUUGGGCUUAAAGCGUCCGUAGCUGGACCCUUAAGUCUCUUGGGAAAUCCGCCGGCUCAACCGACGGGCGUCUAAGAGAUACUGUGGGUCUAGGGACCGGGAGAGGUGAGAGGUACUCCGAGGGUAGGAGUGAAAUCCUGUAAUCCCCGGGGGACCACCGAUGGCGAAGGCAUCUCACCAGAACGGCUCCGACAGUGAGGGACGAAAGCUGGGGGAGCGAACCGGAUUAGAUACCCGGGUAGUCCCAGCCGUAAACUAUGCGCGUUAGGUGUACUGGUGACCACGAGUCACUGGGGUGCCGAAGGGAAACCGUGAAACGUGCCGCCUGGGAAGUACGG